RNAcentral lists this ribosomal RNA (301 nucleotides) under uncultured bacterium. Its description in RNAcentral is "partial 16S ribosomal RNA". It matches the Rfam family "Bacterial small subunit ribosomal RNA", at positions 509 to 809 of the family's 1533-position model. The record is from RNAcentral.
CAGCCGCCGCGGGAAUACGAAGGGUGCAAGCGUUAAUCGGAAUUACUGGGCGUAAAGCGUGCGUAGGCGGUGAGUUAAGUCUGCUGUGAAAUCCCCGGGCUCAACCUGGGAAUGGCAGUGGAUACUGGCUCGCUAGAGUGUGUCAGAGGAUGGUGGAAUUCCCGGUGUAGCGGUGAAAUGCGUAGAGAUCGGGAGGAACAUCAGUGGCGAAGGCGGCCAUCUGGGACAACACUGACGCUGAGGCACGAAAGCGUGGGGAGCAAACAGGAUUAGAUACCCCAGUAGUCCCUGUCUCUUAUAA